UGCGAAGUAGAGCAGUGGUAGCUUGUCGGGCUCAUAACCCGAAGGUCGUCGGUUCAAAUCCGUCCUUCGCAACCA
RNAcentral lists this transfer RNA (75 nucleotides) under Caudoviricetes sp. Its description in RNAcentral is "tRNA-Met". It matches the Rfam family "tRNA". Rfam says of the family: Transfer RNA (tRNA) molecules are approximately 80 nucleotides in length. The record is from RNAcentral. Lineage: Duplodnaviria; Heunggongvirae; Uroviricota; Caudoviricetes.